GCCUGGAUAGCUCAGUUGGUUAGAGUGUGGUGCUGAUAACGCCAAGGUUGAGGGUUCGAGUCCCUUAUGGGACA
Molecule: non-coding RNA, 74 nt
Organism: Podarcis muralis (Common wall lizard)
Lineage: Eukaryota; Metazoa; Chordata; Lepidosauria; Squamata; Lacertidae
Source: the annotation of a RefSeq genome assembly